CCAUGCUAAAAAAAAAAAAAAAAAAUCAGAAGUUUCAAUUCCCAAUGAGUUACUCUCAAGUGCAGUGCCUGGCUGGCUUUCAAUCUCUCCCCUCCAACCUCCUGCAUAAGGCACUAAUUCCAGUCCAGAAGUUCUAUGUGAAGUUAAAAA
This is a long non-coding RNA of Oxyura jamaicensis (ruddy duck), 150 nucleotides long. RefSeq lists it as uncharacterized. The record is from RefSeq and is a predicted model, not a curated record. The transcript is spliced from 3 exons. NCBI's taxonomy places the organism in Eukaryota, Metazoa, Chordata, Aves, Anseriformes, Anatidae.